RNAcentral lists this unclassified non-coding RNA (3152 nucleotides) under Daphnia magna. Its description in RNAcentral is "synaptotagmin-10, transcript variant X4". The record is from RNAcentral. Lineage: Eukaryota; Metazoa; Arthropoda; Branchiopoda; Diplostraca; Daphniidae.
CUGCAGGGAAAACUUCGUCAGAAUUAUCCAGUUGCUCGUCGUCGUCGUCGAUAGCCAUUUCAGAAAAGUAGAGUUCUCCGAAGCCGUAUUUAGUGAAAUAAUGUACAAAGGCGAACUACAGGCAGGCAAACGAGAAAGCGAAGCGGAGACGUUGACGACGACGCUACCGGCACCAUGUGUUGAACGCCGGGCUACCAAUCCCCCUUUCUUUCUCACCAGUAGCCGUGAGUAUGAUGAUGAGCCUCCGCGGAGCUCCUCGCAGUAUCGUCUCAUCUGUGGCCACAGCAACAUCAUCAUCAUCGUUCGGCCUCCAAUCGAAAUAACCGGAGGCGCGUGCAGCCAUUUGAUUUGUUAUCGACGUGGGACGAAAUAGCUCAUCGAUUCAUAGACAAAGAGGAAACGAGACAAGCUGCGCCGUCAUGCCCACAGCGGCCGUUUUGGGUGCGGCCGUGGGCGUAGGAGGAGCUUUAUUCCUGACGCUCACUUUGUUGAUCUACCGUUACCAUGCAGCGCAGAAGAAAGAAGCAGCCGAUAACCAUUAUCCGUAUCAUCAUGGCGGCAAGGGUGUCGGCUAUAGUAGUUUGAGCAACAGUUGGUCAACACGGGACAGCUGGGCGCCACCGGCCUCUUCGACGCCAUCCUACAAAGCCACCAGCUGUUUAUUGGAAGAGGAUCAUGGCGCCUGUAAUGGUAGACGUCGUCCACUCCCCAAACUCUAUCUUCCCCUCACUACCCACCAUCAGGGUUUCGAGACUGCGAAUCAUCCGAUUCAACCUCCGGCUCCUUCGCUGCCUCCAUUUCAACAUUGGUGUCCUAACGAGUCGCCAUUUUCCAUACCGAUAACAAUGUCGAGUUCGAGCGGUGGAGGGACUCGUAACAGCAACGCGGCUCCAACGGCCAACAGCAGCAAGAGAACAUCUCCGUUGAAUUAUUUCAGCCUAGACAUUCCGGCCAGUUUAUUGGGUUCCACGGGCACGACAAGCAAUACGUCGCUUCCGCACCAAUCUUGUUCGUUGCCCUUUGUCGCCCGGCUGGUGCGCACUCCUUCAACUUCUUCUUCAACGUCCGGUUACGCUGCAGGUGAUUCUCCUCAUCACGAUUACCAACAGGGCCGUUCGGAGAGUUUGCAAUGUCAACGUUCUCCGUCUCCAUCAUGUCGUCAUCGUUUGGCUUCCAAUCCGACGCCGUUGUUCGGAUCGGGAUCAUCCGGGGGACAUAUCAAUGUGAGCAGUAACAAUUUGAACUUGACGCCGUAUCCAAGUCCGUUGGUGAGUCCGACGCCUUCCUUUUCGUCGCUUCUCAACUCGUUGGCAUCCGUCACUUCAUCGACGAGCAAUUCACCCGUUCCGGCCACUACGACGACGCCGGCUUCGCCACUGGUCAGACGCAACCGAUCGCCAAUGCUCUGCUCGUUGAACAAGAUGAAUUCGGUUCAAUCAUCGUCGUCGACUACGUCCAACCAGAGCCAAGGAUCGACGACGUCGUUGUGCUGCCUGGCGAUGACGUCAACUUCGACUCCGUUCGGAGCACUUCAACCGGAACUCUACAAACGCGAAACGUCCAUUCAUGUCGGAUUGCCGGCCGAUGAUCAAGAUCAUUCGGAUCAUUCAACCAACGAAUCGUCUUUAUCAGACCAUAUUCAAUCGAAUCAUCAACAGUUAAACAGCAGUGCGGGAUCCGUUUCGAUCACGGCUGCAUCGGCGGCAACUCCUCAAAAGGGUAGCGGAGCGGCAAGCGUCCGUAGUAACAGCAACAUUCCUCUCGGAAGGAUCCAUUUCCGCCUGUCUUACGAUUUCGACAAAUCGGAUUUACUCGUCCAUCUCAUCGAAGCUUGUGACUUAUCGCUGACGAUGGCCAGUUUUACGGAUGGAAGCGGAUCGACUUCGUCGUCUGGCGGUAGUUGCAGCAGCACAAGUGGCAUGGCCGCCGUAUCGAGCAGCAAUCCACGGGAAGCGCAUGUCCGUCUUCUUUUGCAACCAGAAGUGGAUCAACGCCGUCGACAAUCUGCACGCUGCCUGCGACUGGGAACCGACACGCAGUGCUUCUUCGACGAACGCUUCAAAUUUCCCGUGUCACACGAUCACCUUGCCGAUAAGACGCUCCGAUUCCAGAUUUGCGAGUACGAUCGAUUUUCACGACCGUGCGUUGUCGGAGACUUGCAUUUCUCGCUGGCCGAUCGUGAAAAUGUCUUUGGGAGCAGCAACACCGGGCCGGGAGUCGACAUUUGGGCGGACGUGAUGCGCAACACGUUGCCAGAUGAAAGCCGGCCGCAGCUGCUCAUCUCGCUUAGUUACCUGCCAUCAGCCGAACGGCUUACCGUCGUUGUUCUCAAAGCUAAGAAUUUGGUGGUGCCCGCCAGCAAAGAAAAUAUUGAUCCAUUGGUAAAGCUCUAUCUUAUGGUUAACGGCAAACGAUUGAAGAAGAAGAAAACGGAGUGUCGUAAAGGAACAUGCCAUCCAGUUUGGAACCAAGCGCUGACAUUUACAUUACCGUCGACCAAAUUGCACAGUUGCACACUGGAGAUUUCAGUGGUAGAUCAAGGUAGUGAACGAGGUGGCAAAAGCGCCCAGUUGGGUUGUUUGGCUCUCGGUCCCGAUCAAAAUCCUGCUUCACCCGAACGCCAGCACUGGCAGGAUAUGGCCCAUAACGUCAGAAAGUCUAUCGCAAUGUGGCAUUUUCUGCAUUGAAAACACAUUGGAAAAACCAACACAAUUACACAACACCCACACAUACACAAAAAGAAAGAUAUAAAUUCCAUUUAAUUUAUUUUACGAUUUUUUUUUUUUUUUAAAGAUAGAGAAAUCUUUUACAUUUGAUUACGUGUUUCAUUUUCACACUUAGGAAACAAUUCACGUUUACGUACAAAUAUUAUAUUCUAAUUUCGAUGUCUGUCGUGCACUUCCAUCAACUUGGAUGUCCGUUGACCUUAAAAUUCAAUGUCAAUCCACCUCCUAUCUCAACUAUUUAUUCAAUCGAUUUCUUAUGCGUUAUUGAGUUUACUCAAUGUCUUUACGAUGUUUGGUACAUGUCAUACAAACACACGCCAAAAGCUUACAAACAAAAACGUUGACAAUUUUCAUUUGAUACGAAAUCACGUGCCAUUUUUUUUUUUUCUGUUUGACAUGGAACAAAAAUAUAUGUGUCUGAAAUUA